Molecule: long non-coding RNA, 1741 nt
Organism: Felis catus (domestic cat)
Lineage: Eukaryota; Metazoa; Chordata; Mammalia; Carnivora; Felidae
Exons: 3
Source: RefSeq, a predicted model, not a curated record
CAGAGCCCAACGCAGGACUCAGACCCACAAACCAUGAGAUCACGACCUGAGCCGAAAUCAAAAGUGGGGUGCUUAACCGACUGAGCCACCCAGGUGCCCCUUAAUUGGAUUUACAUUUUCAGGCCAACCUGGCUGCAGGAGGAAGGAUUGGAGCCUGAGGAAACUCUGGGGCAGGAAGGCCUGGAGAGAGGCCAUUGCGGUGGAGUUGGUCCUCGAGCCCCAGUCUGGAGAGGAGAUGGCGGGGAGAAGGAGAAAUGGAGCAGCCAACAGAGAAGACAGUGAAGGAUACCAAGAAACCUGACUGAAACUCUGUAACUGAACACACCCUGGGGAAUUCUUUUGCAAAUACUACUGGGUUCGGGUGGGUUUCCAUCACUGGCUUUGCCUGGACACAUCAGAUUCACCUUGAAGGAAUUCACUGAAAGAAACCACCUGGUGCUAUGAAGUUGUGUCGGAAACCACCAUGACUUGCUUCAGUUGAUCGGCAGGUAAGGAAUGAUGAAUUAUGAUCUCAAAUAAAAAGAAAGCACGUGAGCAGAAGAGGAAGGAGAAAGAGAGCAAGCAGCUCAGCCAUGUAGGCAGAUAAACUGUCCCAAGAAGCCUGUCUGUGGCCGUCUGGGAGAAUGUUCCUCUGCGAAUUCCUCUCUCACCACAGAUCACAAUAAAGUCAGAGACGGUCACGGUCUAGAGGCGGAGACAUUGUUCUUUAUUCCAUUCCAUUUCCUUUUUGCGAGAAAUCUGUCUCUACAAAAGAACACUGUCCUGACUGACUUAAUAGAAAGUGGAGUUUUAGAAGUUUAUAAUGGCACAAUCGGAUCCAUAAUCGCUGAUUAACGUGAGAUUUGUGAAGACACAUGGUAAGUAAACAACUCCUUUAAGUUUUUAAAGCAUUACGUAUGACUGUAUUUUUUAAUGGCCCCUUUUAGCAUGUGAUGACCAUACCUGGUCCCCAACUUAUAUUGGACCACCCAGGAUAAAGGGACUCAAAGUGAAGGAAGGAUCCAUAAAAGACAUACAGACGCAGGGAACAGGGAUCACACCAAGUACUUAAACACCUAGCACAGGAGAGACUAUUUUAUCCAUUCUGGAAGAUUAUAUCAUAAAGGAUUAUUCUUCAAACAGCUAAAAAGACACAAAAACAGCAGUGCUGUUUCUGUAAAUACAAUCUUGCACAAGCUACUACAUGUCAGAUUGAUGAACCUCCUCCAGUUGAUGCUGGCGUGGGCCCCGGGUCUAGCGCUCCCACUCACCAUUCCUCCGAGGCCCCUACUUGGAACCCUGGCACUCUAAAGGAAACAGUUUGGAAACCUCUGGAAGCAUUGGCUCAGCUGUUCUCCAUAUACAUUCAAGACAGUCCAAGAGUAAAUGGAUUUGAGAUAUGGGAGUAGGAAUGUCGGACAAAAUCAAGGACUUUUAAAACAUUGCACAGAAGCGCCCGAACAGGAUUCCAGUGGCUCCUAAUUGUUGAUGAAAGGAAAUACAAAAGCACCUCCUUUAAGGCCACCCAGAACUGAGCAUUCUGCCUAACCGGGGAACCCGGAGGUCAUGAUCUGGCCUCAGUCUUUCUCUCCAACCUAACCUUCCACUGCUGGUCCGUCUCUCCCAGGUAGCACAACAGUGCCCUGUGCUGUCGGGUUCCCACCCACCGGCCGCAUCUGAAAUGGAGCAAGCCUGAGCUGAGAUGUGCCAGAGAAUAAAAGUGGAUUUUGAAGAUAUAGUAUGAAUAAAGAAUAGAAAUGUC